UACGUAGGGGGCAAGCGUUGUCCGGAAUCAUUGGGCGUAAAGAGCGUGUAGGCGGCUCGCUAAGUCUGCUGUGAAAGUCCAGGGCUCAACCCUGGAAGGCCGGUGGAAACUGUCGGGCUAGAGUCCGGAAGAGGCGAGUGGAAUUCCCGGUGUAGAGGUGAAAUUCGUAGAUAUCGGGAGGAACACCGGUGGCGAAGGCGGCGACCUGGGACAAUACUGACGCUGAGGUGCGAAAGCGUGGGGAGCAAACAGG
This 253-nucleotide ribosomal RNA is filed under the name uncultured bacterium. Its description in RNAcentral is "partial 16S ribosomal RNA". It matches the Rfam family "Bacterial small subunit ribosomal RNA", at positions 524 to 776 of the family's 1533-position model. The record is from RNAcentral.